AAUGUCAGGAAGUUGGCCGUUUAGGGAGGUGGGUAGAAGGUGACUCGUCAGGCUUGGCAACUCGUUGAGUCGGACGGUUGUCACGACGACUGACCUCCUGCUGCUCUCAACAUGACAGAGAGGAUGACUGAAUGUCAGCUUAACCGCUCCGCCUGUCAUGUCUGUCACACCCGGUGAUACAGGAAGUCAUGUUUCCUGAGACGACUCCGAGCGGCUGAAGCUUUAUUUAUAUUUGAUCUCUUCUGUAAAAGAGAAAGUAAGCGAAGGAUAUUCUGUAGAAACUUUUCGACCCCACAUGGACCCACAGAGCAGUUUGCUGGCUCCAGGUGAAGCUUCCUGGAUUCCCACUUGUUCUCUGGUCGCUUGCCUUUGGAUACCUACCUCUGACUCCAGGAUUUGGAUACUCAGCACGCGACCUCCAUAACCCACCUCUCAUCACCCCGGUGCCCCACCCACCAGGACGCCCCACUUUCCUCCACCUAUGCUCCCUCUCCUACGCUCCCCUGGCUCUCAACCUGCUCCCUCCUCCAGCCAGCAAACUCUCGUCCCACAACGCUGAGCUGUCAUAGCAGUACCUACCACAGACUUAUCUGUGCAUCCUCAGUUCCUUCUUUAUAAAUAAAUCAUAUUUUACCCCCGUUCUUGGUCUGUGUUGCAUCCUGCAUGUCUUGGGUUAGGUACCUUCCUCCAAACAUGACAGGAGGAGCUGGGGGAGGAACAUCUGGACUUCCCUCCUGGACUUGGUACAGUUACAAUCUCAGAUUAAAGGAAUAAUACUGUUGAAUGAAUCUAAACUAAGUCACCAGGUCCUAUGUAUUCAUUUAAUUUUUGUGCUUUUGCACCAGAGUUCAUUUUAAACCUAGCUACAGAAGGCUGUCAAAAAUCUGUGCUCCCAUGUGUCCAGAUUAGCUCUAAUUUCUCCUCAUAUGCUUGAAGCAACAAUCUGAGUUUAGUGCAACGGUAUGAAUAUUGACACAGCUCGUAGAAAAUCUUUGUUAGUUUUAUCUCCUGGUCAACAGAGUUUGUUCUCCCUGUGAAUUAUACCUCAGAACAGAACAUUCCCCCAAUGACAACUCAAAGCAAAUGUGUACAACUACGUUAUGAGAACAUACUCUGCAAAGGAUCAUCUUGGAAUGAACUUUGAAAAGUAAUAAGCAUUUGGAACACACACACACACACACACACACACACACACACACACACACACACACACACACACACACACACACACACACACACACACACACACACACACAAACCUUUGCCCCCACUCUGUAAGUAAAAUAAACUCAAGCCCUUUUUAAUAUAAUUCUGAUGCAUUACCAAAGUGGCACAAUCGUUACAACAUUCAUAACCUGAAGUGGCGUUAGUGGGAUGAGGGCUAAAAUUUCCAUCAGGACCUGUUGUUGCUGCUUAUCAGCACAUUCUGGAGGCCACACUUAAAAAGAGAACACUUUAGUUUCCUUACAUUGAAUUUAAUAUUUACACUGAUAUUUAUUCAUUCAUUAAUUAUGUUGAAGCAUGGUUGAAAAGCAGUAUCUACCUUCCAUUGGUUACAUUCCAUAGAAUUUUUAUUUAUUAUUACUAUUGUCUGAUUCUAAUUAUUUCUGUUGGUUUCUGUGUGCUUUUAAUCAAGUGAGCCAAAUCUGACUGCUUGAGCAAAAACAUAUUUUCUGAUAUAUAAAUGGGCCAUGACAAAUAUAUUUUUUUCUUUUGGUUAACUUUUUGUCACUGUGCAACUGGUUUAAAUUUUCCUCUCUGACUUGGAACAUGAUCUGUUUACAAAUUGGCUCAGUUUUUUUCUGAGAAUGCAUUUUAUAUGUAAAUCCAAAUAUUAUUUUCUUUUCUUUCUGCCUCCAGUAGAAAUCUUUUUUUUUUUUUUCAUUAUCUGUUUCUGGGAGUUUGCUUCUUGUUGAACCUGGAGGGGAAAUCGGUUUGUUAACAUCAGCAGUAAAUCGCACAGCUAAUGGUGUUGAAACAAGAAGGGGAGACAAAGUGCAAGAAUACAAAUAUGGACCCACUGCAGACCGUCUUUGUGAUAAAAUAUUAAACUUACACCAUAAAGAGUAAAUAAUUGACUUGUAGCUCUGCUAGUUAAAGUGUGCUGCUGCAAAAUGUGAUGGGACUUAGUUUAGGGUAAAAGGUGCAUUUUAACCAUUAGCUGAAUUAUUUCUGUUGUGUCUGGCAAAAUAUUAAUGUAGAUUAUAUGUUGUAUUAAAACUGCUGCUGGGCGAAGAAGCAACAACAACGAGUCUAGUGAUCCCUCGCCAAGAGACAAAGAGACUUCCUGAGAGUUUAAAUCUCAUUUAAAAAGUUGUGGAUCAGAUCUGAACACACAGUCUGACUGGCUCCCCUUCACACAUUAAACAUUCUGAGCCUCUAAUAUUUUCUAAGUUCUCCAAUGGUAUGAGCAGGGACACAGCAAGCUGUUUUAAA
Molecule: long non-coding RNA, 2436 nt
Organism: Nothobranchius furzeri (turquoise killifish)
Lineage: Eukaryota; Metazoa; Chordata; Actinopteri; Cyprinodontiformes; Nothobranchiidae
Source: RefSeq, a predicted model, not a curated record